This is a small nuclear RNA of Neogale vison (American mink), 182 nucleotides long. RefSeq annotates it as U2 spliceosomal RNA. Lineage: Eukaryota; Metazoa; Chordata; Mammalia; Carnivora; Mustelidae. The transcript has a single exon. The record is from RefSeq and is a predicted model, not a curated record.
AUCGCUUCUCGGCCUUUUGGCUAAGAUCAAGUGUAAAAUUCUUGCUUUGCCCAAAAUUCCCAGCAUAUUUUUGUAAUAUUUCUUUCUCACAAUCUAUUUUUUAACUUCUUAUUUUGAAGAAAAAAAAAGGUAUAGAAACACAGGAGGUGGCAAAGAAAUGCACUGAGUAGUCUCAAGCACCA